Molecule: ribosomal RNA, 497 nt
Filed under: uncultured bacterium
Lineage: Bacteria
Description: partial 16S ribosomal RNA
Rfam family: Bacterial small subunit ribosomal RNA
Source: RNAcentral
GAUGAACGCUGGCGGCGUGCCUAAUACAUGCAAGUCGAGCGAACAGACGAGGAGCUUGCUCCUCUGACGUUAGCGGCGGACGGGUGAGUAACACGUGGAUAACCUACCUAUAAGACUGGGAUAACUUCGGGAAACCGGAGCUAAUACCGGAUAAUAUAUUGAACCGCAUGGUUCAAUAGUGAAAGACGGUUUUGCUGUCACUUAUAGAUGGAUCCGCGCCGCAUUAGCUAGUUGGUAAGGUAACGGCUUACCAAGGCAACGAUGCGUAGCCGACCUGAGAGGGUGAUCGGCCACACUGGAACUGAGACACGGUCCAGACUCCUACGGGAGGCAGCAGUAGGGAAUCUUCCGCAAUGGGCGAAAGCUUGACGGAGCAACGCCGCGUGAGUGAUGAAGGUCUUCGGAUCGUAAAACUCUGUUAUUAGGGAAGAACAAAUGUGUAAGUAACUAUGCACGUCUUGACGGUACCUAUUCAGAAAGCCACGGCUAACUACGUU